UACGAAGGGGGCUAGCGUUGCUCGGAAUUACUGGGCGUAAAGGGCGCGUAGGCGGCGACUCUAGUCAGAUGUGAAAGUCCUGGGCUUAACCUGGGGACUGCAUUUGAUACUGGGUUGCUUGAAUUCGGGAGAGGAUAGCGGAAUUCCCAGUGUAGAGGUGAAAUUCGUAGAUAUUGGGAAGAACACCGGUGGCGAAGGCGGCUAUCUGGACCGACAUUGACGCUGAGGCGCGAAAGCGUGGGGAGCAAACAGG
Molecule: ribosomal RNA, 253 nt
Filed under: uncultured bacterium
Lineage: Bacteria
Description: partial 16S ribosomal RNA
Rfam family: Bacterial small subunit ribosomal RNA
Source: RNAcentral